Molecule: long non-coding RNA, 608 nt
Filed under: Mustela putorius furo (domestic ferret)
Lineage: Eukaryota; Metazoa; Chordata; Mammalia; Carnivora; Mustelidae
Description: lncRNA (ENSMPUG00000024264.1)
Source: RNAcentral
GAGAAAUAGGAUAGCAGCCGCUGUGGGAGAGCGUAAGCGGAGCCAGCUGGGGCCUACUUCUGCUUUCUGUUUCUCAGUUUUUGUUUCUCGUGAUUAUUUUUAACCCAGAUGUUGGUCAUUCGAAGCUUUCAUAAACUCACAGGCCCUUAUCAGUUAAAGGCGCCCCAAAGCUUAUGGAAUCAGGAACAUCAUCUGGCAUGAAGAGAAGAUAUUGGGAGUACAGGAAAUCAGCCCGCUGUACACUUACUCCCCCAUCAGCUGCCAGAUGCCUUAAAUUUAUUCUUCAGAUUGGAAUGCAUAAAGUCAACUUAAAGAAUUUUCAGUCAUCACAUUUUCCUAAUUGAAGCCCCUGUCCAAAAGUGGGGCAGUGUUUCAACUGUAAUAUUUCGGGUACUGCUCCCAGGAUCUGUAUCGUUUGAGACCUUCCUUUAGGACUGGAUAAAGGUAAUUUUUAACCUACCAGACUGCCCAGAGAUGAUGGUGAGAUGCUUGGGUUGUCAGCAUUGAAACUUGCCAAAGUAAUACUCCUGUAACACAGUAUGAGAUGAAAGCUUAGAGUUAUGGAGCUCAUUUGCAGGAGGUAGACAGCCAAGGAGAUACCUAACCAC